GCGGCUUGAUAAGCCGGUUGUGAAAGCCCCGGGCUCAACCUGGGAACGGCAUCCGGAACUGUCAGGCUAGAGUGCAGGAGAGGAAGGUAGAAUUCCCGGUGUAGCGGUGAAAUGCGUAGAGAUCGGGAGGAAUACCAGUGGCGAAGGCGGCCUUCUGGACUGACACUGACGCUGAGGUGCGAAAGCGUGGGUAGCAAACAGGAUUAGAUACCCUGGUAGUCCACGCCGUAAACGAUGUCGACUAGCCGUUGGGCUCCUUGAGAGCUUUGUGGCGCAGUUAACGCGAUAAGUCGACCGCCUGGGGAGUACGGCCGCAAGGUUAAAACUCAAAUGAAUUGACGGGGGCCCGCACAAGCGGUGGAGCAUGUGGUUUAAUUCGAUGCAACGCGAAGAACCUUACCUACCCUUGACAUCGAGAGAACUUUCCAGAGAUGGAUUGGUGCCUUCGGGAACUCUCAGACAGGUGCUGCAUGGCUGUCGUCAGCUCGUGUUGUGAAAUGUUGGGUUAAGUCCCGUAACGAGCGCAACCCUUGUCCCUAUUUGCCAGCGAUUCGGUCGGGAACUCUAGGGAGACUGCCGGUGACAAACCGGAGGAAGGUGGGGACGACGUCAAGUCAUCAUGGCCCUUACGGGUAGGGCUACACACGUGCUACAAUGGCCGGUACAAUGGGUUGCGAAUCCGCGAGGUGGAGCUAAUCCCAUAAAGCCGGUCUCAGUCCGGAUCGGAGUCUGCAACUCGACUCCGUGAAGUCGGAAUCGCUAGUAAUCGUGAAUCAGAAUGUCACGGUGAAUACGUUCCCGGGCCUUGUACACACCGCCCGUCACACCAUGGGAGUGGACUGCACCAGAAGUGGUUAGCCUAACUUCGGAGGGCGAUCACC
Molecule: ribosomal RNA, 881 nt
Filed under: Halomonas sp. MNB3_MN
Lineage: Bacteria; Pseudomonadati; Pseudomonadota; Gammaproteobacteria; Oceanospirillales; Halomonadaceae
Description: bacterial SSU rRNA
Rfam family: Bacterial small subunit ribosomal RNA
Source: RNAcentral